RNAcentral lists this ribosomal RNA (509 nucleotides) under uncultured bacterium. Its description in RNAcentral is "partial 16S ribosomal RNA". It matches the Rfam family "Bacterial small subunit ribosomal RNA", at positions 28 to 506 of the family's 1533-position model. The record is from RNAcentral.
GACGAACGCUGGCGGCGUGCUUAACACAUGCAAGUCGAACGAAGAGCGACGGAAGCUUGCUUCUAUCAAUCUUAGUGGCGAACGGGUGAGUAACGCGUAAUCAACCUGCCCUUCAGAGGGGGACAACAGUUGGAAACGACUGCUAAUACCGCAUACGAUCUAAUCUCGGCAUCGAGGAUGGAUGAAAGGUGGCCUCUACAUGUAAGCUAUCACUGAAGGAGGGGAUUGCGUCUGAUUAGCUAGUUGGAGGGGUAACGGCCCACCAAGGCGAUGAUCAGUAGCCGGUCUGAGAGGAUGAACGGCCACAUUGGGACUGAGACACGGCCCAGACUCCUACGGGAGGCAGCAGUGGGGAAUCUUCCGCAAAGGACGAAAGUCUGACGGAGCAACGCCGCGUGAGUGAUGACGGCCUUCGGGUUGUAAAGCUCUGUUAAUCGGGACGAAAGGCCUUCUUGCGAAUAGUGAGAAGGAUUGACGGUACCGGAAUAGAAAGCCACGGCUAACUACGU